AACAAUGAUUUCUAGGGUUCCGUAGCAUGUUGCUAGCCUGGUCCGAGAGAAAUCUCAUAGCUAUAUUGCUAUGCCACGGAAGGAUAAAAGCCUGGGAGAC
This 100-nucleotide small RNA is filed under the name Viridibacillus arenosi. RNAcentral's name for it is "Guanidine-I sequence". It matches the Rfam family "Guanidine-I riboswitch aptamer". From Rfam's summary of the family: This family represents a conserved RNA structure found upstream of the ykkC and yxkD genes in Bacillus subtilis and related genes in other bacteria. The function of this family is unclear although it has been suggested that it may function to switch on efflux pumps and detoxification systems in response to harmful environmental molecules. The record is from RNAcentral. Lineage: Bacteria; Bacillati; Bacillota; Bacilli; Caryophanales; Caryophanaceae. RNAcentral also lists the same sequence under 1 other name.